GUGAAUCAUCGAAUUUUUGAACGCACAUUGCACUUUCUGGUAUUCUGGAAAGUAUGCCUGUUUGAGGGUCAUUUAAAUACAAAUCGUUGUUGUUGCUGCUUUUCUUGGUGACGCGUCGGAUUUGAAUUGUCUUACCUUCGGUUAUGUGACUUAAAAUGUUUCAUGAUUUUCGAACUUAUUUAAAUUGCUUACGUACGUUUGAGUUAUCGAAUACUAUUUU
This 220-nucleotide unclassified non-coding RNA is filed under the name Glomeraceae sp. RNAcentral describes it as "partial contains 5.8S ribosomal RNA and internal transcribed spacer 2". The stretch from base 1 to 71 matches the Rfam family "5.8S ribosomal RNA", at positions 84 to 154 of the family's 154-position model. The record is from RNAcentral. Lineage: Eukaryota; Fungi; Glomeromycota; Glomeromycetes; Glomerales; Glomeraceae.